Molecule: ribosomal RNA, 373 nt
Filed under: uncultured bacterium
Lineage: Bacteria
Description: bacterial SSU rRNA
Rfam family: Bacterial small subunit ribosomal RNA
Source: RNAcentral
GUAGGAGGCGAGCGUUAUCCGGAUUCACUGGGCGUAAAGCGCGUGCAGGCGGUUUGGUAAGUUGGGCGUGAAAGCUCCCGGCUCAACUGGGAGAGGUCGUUCAAUACUACCAAACUAGAGAAUAGAAGAGGAAGAUGGAAUUCCCGGUGUAGUGGUGAAAUGCGUAGAUAUCGGGAGGAACACCAGUGGCGAAGGCGAUCUUCUGGUCUAUUUCUGACGCUCAGACGCGACAGCUAGGGUAGUAAACGGGAUUAGAGACCCCGGUAAUCCUAGCCGUAAACGAUGUGAACUUGGCGUCGGUGGCUUAAACACCAUCGGUGCCGAAGCAAACGCGAUAAGUUCACCGCCUGGGGACUACGGCCGCAAGGUUAAA